Molecule: long non-coding RNA, 344 nt
Filed under: Trifolium pratense (red clover)
Lineage: Eukaryota; Viridiplantae; Streptophyta; Magnoliopsida; Fabales; Fabaceae
Description: long non-coding RNA (TPRA_LNC008915)
Source: RNAcentral
AAAUCAAGGUCACACCGCACAGUGAAUUAAAAGCUUCUAUGAAUUGCGGCCAAAGUUGUAUCAGUAUGCGAAAAAGUGGCUCUAAACAUGUUAUGAAACUCACUAGAAGUGUUGCUUUUGAUUCAGCGUGCGGUGGCACUGCAUUUUUGGUCUUUUCCAAAUGCAUGCAAGACAUGAAAAACUUCAUAAAUAUGAACAACCUAAAGCCAUUUCCUUGGUUCUAUUAAUUUAACCCAUAUGUUUAUAAUUCUUCGAUUCAUUCAAUUUUAGUUUGUUCACAAAACAUUGAAAUAGUAACAAACAUCAGGAGUAUUAAGUUGGACUCCUCUUACAAACACUAGUGC